RNAcentral lists this ribosomal RNA (467 nucleotides) under uncultured bacterium. RNAcentral's name for it is "partial 16S ribosomal RNA". It matches the Rfam family "Bacterial small subunit ribosomal RNA", at positions 28 to 506 of the family's 1533-position model. The record is from RNAcentral.
GACGAACGCUGGCGGCGUGCUUAACACAUGCAAGUCGAACGGAAAGGCCCUGCUUUUGUGGGGUGCUCGAGUGGCGAACGGGUGAGUAACACGUGAGUAACCUGCCCUUGACUUUGGGAUAACUUCAGGAAACUGGGGCUAAUACCGGAUAGGAGCUCCUGCUGCAUGGUGGGGGUUGGAAAGUUUCGGCGGUUGGGGAUGGACUCGCGGCUUAUCAGCUUGUUGGUGGGGUAGUGGCUUACCAAGGCUUUGACGGGUAGCCGGCCUGAGAGGGUGACCGGCCACAUUGGGACUGGGAUCCGGCCCAGACUCCUACGGGGGGCAGCGGGGGGGAAUAUUGCACAAUGGGGGGAAGCCUGAUGCAGCAACGCCGCGUGGGGGAUGACGGCCUUCGGGUUGUAAACCGCUUUCGCCUGUGACGAAGCGUGAGUGACGGUAAUGGGGAAAGAAGCACCGGCUAACUACGG